RNAcentral lists this ribosomal RNA (2074 nucleotides) under Halomonas sp. es.049. RNAcentral's name for it is "bacterial LSU rRNA". It matches the Rfam family "Bacterial large subunit ribosomal RNA", at positions 1 to 2110 of the family's 2925-position model. Lineage: Bacteria; Pseudomonadati; Pseudomonadota; Gammaproteobacteria; Oceanospirillales; Halomonadaceae. The record is from RNAcentral.
AUAGGGUCAAGCAAUGAAGCGCACACGGUGGAUGCCUAGGCAGCCAGAGGCGAUGAAAGACGUGGAAGCCUGCGAUAAGGCUCGGCGAGGUGGCAAACAACCUGUGACCCGGGCAUUUCUGAAUGGGGAAACCCACUCAUCACAAGAUGAGUAUCCUGCACUGAAUACAUAGGUGACAGGAGGCGAACCAGGGGAACUGAAACAUCUAAGUACCCUGAGGAAAAGAAAUCAACCGAGAUUCCCCUAGUAGCGGCGAGCGAACGGGGACCAGCCCUUAAGCAUGUGACUGAUUAGGCGAAUGCGCUGGGAAGCGCGGCCAUAGUGGGUGAUAGCCCCGUAGUCGAAAAUCUGAUCAUGUGAAAUCGAGUAGGUCGGGGCACGAGAAACCUUGACUGAAGACGGGGGGACCAUCCUCCAAGGCUAAAUACUCCUGGCUGACCGAUAGUGAACCAGUACCGUGAGGGAAAGGCGAAAAGAACCCCGGAGAGGGGAGUGAAAUAGACCCUGAAACCGUGUGCGUACAAGCAGUCGGAGCGGACUUGUUCCGUGACGGCGUACCUUUUGUAUAAUGGGUCAGCGACUUAUAUUCUGUGGCGAGGUUAACCGACUAGGGGAGCCGUAGCGAAAGCGAGUCUUAACUGGGCGCACCAGUCGCAGGAUAUAGACCCGAAACCGAGCGAUCUAUCCAUGAGCAGGUUGAAGAUUGAGUAACAUCAAUUGGAGGACCGAACCAGGAUCUGUUGAAAAAGAUUUGGAUGACUUGUGGAUCGGAGUGAAAGGCUAAUCAAGCUCGGAGAUAGCUGGUUCUCCUCGAAAGCUAUUUAGGUAGCGCCUCAUGUAGCACCGCCGGGGGUAGAGCACUGUUUCGGCUAGGGGGUCAUCCCGACUUACCAACCCGAGGCAAACUCCGAAUACCGGUGAGUGACGCGUGGGAGACACACAGCGGGUGCUAACGUCCGUUGUGAAAAGGGAAACAACCCAGACCGUCAGCUAAGGUCCCGAAAUCCUGAUUAAGUGGGAAACGAUGUGGGAAGGCUCAGACAGCUAGGAGGUUGGCUUAGAAGCAGCCAUCCUUUAAAGAAAGCGUAAUAGCUCACUAGUCGAGUCGGCCUGCGCGGAAGAUGUAACGGGGCUAAAUCAGGUACCGAAGCUACGGGUUCAUCCUCUGGAUGAGCGGUAGAGGAGCGUCGUGUAAGCCAAUGAAGGUGAGUUGAGAAGCUCGCUGGAGGUAUCACGAGUGCGAAUGCUGACAUGAGUAACGAUAAAGGGCGUGAAAAACGCCCUCGCCGGAAGACCAAGGGUUUCUGUUCGACGCUAAUCGGAGCAGAGUGAGUCGGCCCCUAAGGCGAGGCCGAAAGGCGUAGUCGAUGGGAAACGGGUCAAUAUUCCCGUACCGGACAUGAUUGCGAUGGGGGACGGAGAAGGCUAGGUGAGCCAGGCGUUGGUUGUCCUGGUGAAAGUGAGUAGGCUUGGGUCUCAGGUAAAUCCGGGACCCUUCAAGGCCGAGACACGAAACGAACUGACCACGGUCAGGAAGUCAUUGAUGCCACGCUUCCAGGAAAAGCCUCUAAGCUUCAGAUCAUGUGCGACCGUACCCCAAACCGACACAGGUGGUCAGGGAGAGAAUCCCAAGGCGCUUGAGAGAACUCGGGUGAAGGAACUAGGCAAAAUGGUGCCGUAACUUCGGGAGAAGGCACGCCGGCGUAGGGUGAAGAGACUUGCUCUCCUAGCCCGAACCGGUCGAAGAUACCAGGUGGCUGCAACUGUUUAGUAAAAACACAGCACUCUGCUAACGCGCAAGCGGACGUAUAGGGUGUGACGCCUGCCCGGUGCCGGAAGGUUAAGUGAUGGUGUUAUCUUCGGAGAAGCUCUUGAUCGAAGCCCCGGUAAACGGCGGCCGUAACUAUAACGGUCCUAAGGUAGCGAAAUUCCUUGUCGGGUAAGUUCCGACCUGCACGAAUGGCGUAAUGAUGGCCACGCUGUCUCCACCCGAGACUCAGUGAAAUUGAAAUCGCCGUGAAGAUGCGGUGUACCCGCGGCUAGACGGAAAGACCCCGUGAACCUUUACUAUAGC